Vicia faba (fava bean) is the source of this 264-nucleotide non-coding RNA. The record is from the annotation of a GenBank genome assembly. Lineage: Eukaryota; Viridiplantae; Streptophyta; Magnoliopsida; Fabales; Fabaceae.
AUGACAGGGAAUCAUGAAGAUAGGAAGUAUCAGAGAAGAUUCGGUGCUUACCUUCAACAUUUUCGGAGAUGUGCAAAAGCGAAUACCAGAGGAGAGAAUUUGGCUCUGAUUACAGAUCCACAGCCAAUUUGCAGAACUCCUCAAAUGCCACAAAUGCUAGCUUUGGAUGCUGUUUUUUGUGGUAAUAGUUAUACCGUAACACGGCUGAGUGCACAUGCUUUGAAACUCUCUACUGUUGAGAUAAUGGAGGAUCAUCACCAGUAG